RNAcentral lists this ribosomal RNA (253 nucleotides) under uncultured bacterium. RNAcentral's name for it is "partial 16S ribosomal RNA". It matches the Rfam family "Bacterial small subunit ribosomal RNA", at positions 524 to 776 of the family's 1533-position model. The record is from RNAcentral.
UACGGAGGGGGCGAGCGUUAUUCGGAAUUAUUGGGCGUAAAGGGCGCGUAGGCGGCUUCAUAAGUCAAAGGUGAAAUCCCUCGGCUCAACUGAGGAACUGCCUUUGAAACUGUGGAGCUUGAGGCCGGGAGGGGGUAGCGGAAUUCCCAGUGUAGCGGUGAAAUGCGUAGAUAUUGGGAGGAACACCAGUGGCGAAGGCGGGUCUCUGGACAGUUCCUGACACUGAGGCACGAAGGCCAGGGGAGCAAACGGG